RNAcentral lists this unclassified non-coding RNA (497 nucleotides) under Hevea brasiliensis (rubber tree). The record is from RNAcentral. Lineage: Eukaryota; Viridiplantae; Streptophyta; Magnoliopsida; Malpighiales; Euphorbiaceae.
AAAAUUCUUGUGAUAAUAUUUUUACAAAUUAAAGUCCUUUCCUUUAUCUAAUCAAUCAAUCAAUCAAUUGUGUUAGAGACUGCAUGGCUAAGCUAACAUGUGGGAGCUCCUUUGUCCUUCUCCUCGUUUUCUCAGCUACUUUGAUGGUGGUGGUGCCUAAUGGAGAAGCACAAGAAAUCUGCCAUGAUGAAAUUCCAGGAAAUGGAAAUUGUGACGAAGGAACUUGCCAAACACAGUGCUCCAACUUAAACCAAGGCACUGGAAUCUGCACUCAAACUUUUAUAAAUCGCUUCAAUUGUAUUUGCAAUUGGGAAUGUUCUUAAUCAUAACCAGAUAGAGAGAAUUUUUAAUUUGUUUUAUUUAAUUGCCCCAUUUUAAUUUAUUUUCCUCAUUUUCUUCCUACAUUAAUAAAUCUACAGAAAGUUAUAAAUUCUUUCCUUGAGUUACCAAGUGUAAACAUGUACCUUCUAUUGUUCAUCAAAUUUUUAUUAUGGGCG